CGAACGAUGAACCACUUCGGUGGGGAUUAGUGGCGAACGGGUGAGUAACACGUGGGCAAUCUGCCCUGCACUCUGGGACAAGCCCUGGAAACGGGGUCUAAUACCGGAUACUGAUCCUCGCAGGCAUCUGCGAGGUUCGAAAGCUCCGGCGGUGCAGGAUGAGCCCGCGGCCUAUCAGCUAGUUGGUGAGGUAACGGCUCACCAAGGCGACGACGGGUAGCCGGCCUGAGAGGGCGACCGGCCACACUGGGACUGAGACACGGCCCAGACUCCUACGGGAGGCAGCAGUGGGGAAUAUUGCACAAUGGGCGAAAGCCUGAUGCAGCGACGCCGCGUGAGGGAUGACGGCCUUCGGGUUGUAAACCUCUUUCAGCAGGGAAGAAGCGAAAGUGACGGUACCUGCAGAAGAAGCGCCGGCUAACUACGUGCCAGCAGCCGCGGUAAUACGUAGGGCGCAAGCGUUGUCCGGAAUUAUUGGGCGUAAAGAGCUCGUAGGCGGCUUGUCACGUCGGUUGUGAAAGCCCGGGGCUUAACCCCGGGUCUGCAGUCGAUACGGGCAGGCUAGAGUUCGGUAGGGGAGAUCGGAAUUCCUGGUGUAGCGGUGAAAUGCGCAGAUAUCAGGAGGAACACCGGUGGCGAAGGCGGAUCUCUGGGCCGAUACUGACGCUGAGGAGCGAAAGCGUGGGGAGCGAACAGGAUUAGAUACCCUGGUAGUCCACGCCGUAAACGGUGGGCACUAGGUGUGGGCAACAUUCCACGUUGUCCGUGCCGCAGCUAACGCAUUAAGUGCCCCGCCUGGGGAGUAC
RNAcentral lists this ribosomal RNA (806 nucleotides) under Streptomyces sp. Its description in RNAcentral is "bacterial SSU rRNA". It matches the Rfam family "Bacterial small subunit ribosomal RNA", at positions 63 to 883 of the family's 1533-position model. The record is from RNAcentral. Lineage: Bacteria; Bacillati; Actinomycetota; Actinomycetes; Kitasatosporales; Streptomycetaceae.